This is a long non-coding RNA of Daphnia pulex (common water flea), 444 nucleotides long. RefSeq lists it as uncharacterized. The record is from RefSeq and is a predicted model, not a curated record. The transcript is spliced from 2 exons. Lineage: Eukaryota; Metazoa; Arthropoda; Branchiopoda; Diplostraca; Daphniidae.
AAGAUUUCUAGGUUGAACAAAUUUUGAGUUCACAUCUACUUGAUUCGAACUCCAAUAGAUUUUCGAAAUGCUUGAGUUAGAGCUUCAGUUUUGCUCAUUUCAAGGCUGUAGAUUUCCGAUCCGGCCAUGGAUGUGAAAGAUUCAAAGACAAUGUUAACCUGUUCCUGGCUGUCCAGCAAUCAAUACUGCUCUCCCCGCAAUUUUUCCUUCUCUAAUCAUUUCCAGUACCACACCAGCAGCUCGUCGUGCUGUCAACUGGCCAACCAUGCCUUGGGACACCUAACAAUCAUUUUGAUAUGUAACUUGUACGAUUCUUUUAUUCAAAUUAUUCAAAAGUACUUCUCUUGGUUCCAAAGCAUCAUCAAGUCCAAGACCUCGAAUGUGAGAGUGAGUACCGAUUCGUUCAAUUCGAGAGAAUUCUCGCACUUCUGCUACUUUAACUGA